Molecule: ribosomal RNA, 468 nt
Filed under: uncultured bacterium
Lineage: Bacteria
Description: partial 16S ribosomal RNA
Rfam family: Bacterial small subunit ribosomal RNA
Source: RNAcentral
GACGAACGCUGGCGGCGUGCUUAACACAUGCAAGUCGAACGGAAAGGCCCUGCUUUUGUGGGGUGCUCGAGUGGCGAACGGGUGAGUAACACGUGAGUAACCUGCCCUUGACUUUGGGAUAACUUCAGGAAACUGGGGCUAAUACCGGAUAGGAGCUCCUGCUGCAUGGUGGGGGUUGGAAAGUUUCGGCGGUUGGGGAUGGACUCGCGGCUUAUCAGCUUGUUGGUGUGGUAGUGGCUUACCAAGGCUUUGACGGGUAGCCGGCCUGAGAGGGUGACCGGCCACAUUGGGACUGAGAUACGGCGCAGACUCCUACGGGAGGCAGCAGUGGGGAAUAUUGCACAAUGGGCGGAAGCCUGAUGCAGCAACGCCGCGUGCGGGAUGACGGCCUUCGGGUUGUAAACCGCUUUCGACUGUGACGAAGCGUGAGUGACGGUAAUGGGUAAAGAAGCACCGGCUAACUACGUG